AAGGAAUAUUGGUCAAUGGAGGGAACUCUGAACCAGCCAUGCCGCGUGCAGGAUGAAAGCCCUCUGGGUUGUAAACUGCUUUUAACAGGGAAGAAAAUGCUAUACGUGAUAUAGUACUGACGGUACCUGAGGAAUAAGCACCGGCUAACUCCGUGCCAGCAGCCGCGGUAAUACGGAGGGUGCAAGCGUUAUCCGGAAUCACUGGGUUUAAAGGGUGCGUAGGCGGUUUUAUAAGUCAGUGGUAAAAGGUUGUAGCUCAACUAUAAGAGGUCCAUUGAUACUGUAAGACUUGAAUCGAGUUGAGGUUGGCGGAAUGAGACAUGUAGCGGUGAAAUGCUUAGAUAUGUCAUAGAACACCAAUUGCGAAGGCAGCUGACUAGACUUAGAUUGACGCUGAGGCACGAAAGUGUGGGUAGCGAAC
This 421-nucleotide ribosomal RNA is filed under the name uncultured bacterium. RNAcentral's name for it is "bacterial SSU rRNA". It matches the Rfam family "Bacterial small subunit ribosomal RNA", at positions 356 to 773 of the family's 1533-position model. The record is from RNAcentral.